UACGUAGGGGGCAAGCGUUGUCCGGAAUCAUUGGGCGUAAAGCGCGUGUAGGCGGCUCGAUAAGUCCGCUCUGAAAGUCCAGGGCUCAACCCUGGGAUGCGGGUGGAUACUGUCGGGCUCGAGUCCGGAAGAGGCGAGUGGAAUUCCUGGUGUAGCGGUGAAAUGCGCAGAUAUCAGGAGGAACACCAAUGGCGAAGGCAGCUCGCUGGGACGUGACUGACGCUGAGACGCGAAAGCGUGGGGAGCAAACAGG
RNAcentral lists this ribosomal RNA (253 nucleotides) under uncultured bacterium. RNAcentral's name for it is "partial 16S ribosomal RNA". It matches the Rfam family "Bacterial small subunit ribosomal RNA", at positions 524 to 776 of the family's 1533-position model. The record is from RNAcentral.